GACGAACGCUGGCGGCGUGCUUAACACAUGCAAGUCGAACGGAAAGGCCCUGCUUUUGUGGGGUGCUCGAGUGGCGAACGGGUGAGUAACACGUGAGUAACCUGCCCUUGACUUUGGGAUAACUUCAGGAAACUGGGGCUAAUACCGGAUAGGAGCUCCUGCUGCAUGGUGGGGGUUGGAAAGUUUCGGCGGUUGGGGAUGGACUCGCGGCUUAUCAGCUUGUUGGUGGGGUAGUGGCUUACCAAGGCUUUGACGGGUAGCCGGCCUGAGAGGGUGACCGGCCACCUUGGGACUGAGACACGGCCCAGACUCCUACGGGAGGCAGCAGUGGGGAAUAUUGCACAAUGGGCGGAAGCCUGAUGCAGCAACGCCGCGUGCGGGAUGACUGCCUUCGGGUUGUAGACCGCUUUCGCCUGUGACGAAGCGUGAGUGACGGUAAUGGGUAAAGAAGCACCGGCUAACUACGUG
RNAcentral lists this ribosomal RNA (468 nucleotides) under uncultured bacterium. Its description in RNAcentral is "partial 16S ribosomal RNA". It matches the Rfam family "Bacterial small subunit ribosomal RNA", at positions 28 to 507 of the family's 1533-position model. The record is from RNAcentral.